UCGUCUGGACUUGAUUUCCGCAAAAUGUUCCCGAAUUUCUAACCAGAAUGGACAAUUUUGGGAAAUCCGUCUCUUUUGACCGGUCAUCGGACGUUCCGGAUUGUAUUCCCUGAUUUCCCCACUUCUCGGCAGCCUUGGAAGCCGCGGCUUCAUGAGAGACUCCUUCUUGGGAACCAUGUUCCGGAUCAACGAUGUAAAGUGACAUCCAGCUCCAGAUGGCAACGUCCCGGCCAAGUUUUCGAAGAACCGGUGCAAACAAACGGAAUAUGUUCAACCCGGAAUCAAAGGCGGACGACCGCUGGACUCUACUGGAACCUUCCGUCG
Culex quinquefasciatus (southern house mosquito) is the source of this 324-nucleotide long non-coding RNA. RefSeq lists it as uncharacterized. NCBI's taxonomy places the organism in Eukaryota, Metazoa, Arthropoda, Insecta, Diptera, Culicidae. The transcript has 3 exons. The record is from RefSeq and is a predicted model, not a curated record.